RNAcentral lists this ribosomal RNA (919 nucleotides) under uncultured Lactiplantibacillus sp. RNAcentral describes it as "bacterial SSU rRNA". It matches the Rfam family "Bacterial small subunit ribosomal RNA", at positions 1 to 886 of the family's 1533-position model. Lineage: Bacteria; Bacillati; Bacillota; Bacilli; Lactobacillales; Lactobacillaceae. The record is from RNAcentral.
UCUAGAGUUUGAUCAUGGCUCAGGACGAACGCUGGCGGCGUGCCUAAUACAUGCAAGUCGAACGAACUCUGGUAUUGAUUGGUGCUUGCAUCAUGAUUUACAUUUGAGUGAGUGGCGAACUGGUGAGUAACACGUGGGAAACCUGCCCAGAAGCGGGGGAUAACACCUGGAAACAGAUGCUAAUACCGCAUAACAACUUGGACCGCAUGGUCCGAGCUUGAAAGAUGGCUUCGGCUAUCACUUUUGGAUGGUCCCGCGGCGUAUUAGCUAGAUGGUGGGGUAACGGCUCACCAUGGCAAUGAUACGUAGCCGACCUGAGAGGGUAAUCGGCCACAUUGGGACUGAGACACGGCCCAAACUCCUACGGGAGGCAGCAGUAGGGAAUCUUCCACAAUGGACGAAAGUCUGAUGGAGCAACGCCGCGUGAGUGAAGAAGGGUUUCGGCUCGUAAAACUCUGUUGUUAAAGAAGAACAUAUCUGAGAGUAACUGUUCAGGUAUUGACGGUAUUUAACCAGAAAGCCACGGCUAACUACGUGCCAGCAGCCGCGGUAAUACGUAGGUGGCAAGCGUUGUCCGGAUUUAUUGGGCGUAAAGCGAGCGCAGGCGGUUUUUUAAGUCUGAUGUGAAAGCCUUCGGCUCAACCGAAGAAGUGCAUCGGAAACUGGGAAACUUGAGUGCAAAAAAGGACAGUGGAACUCCAUGUGUAGCGGUGAAAUGCGUAGAUAUAUGGAAGGAACACCAGUGGCGAAGGCGGCUGUCUGGUCUGUAACUGACGCUGAGGCUCGAAAGUAUGGGUAGCAAACAGGAUUAAAUACCCUGGUAGUCCAUACCGUAAACGAUGAAUGCUAAGUGGUGGAGGGUUUCCCCCCCUUCAGUGCUGCAGCUAACGCAUUAAGCAUUCCGCCUGGGGAGUACGGC